RNAcentral lists this RNase P RNA (417 nucleotides) under Thermoactinomyces mirandus. RNAcentral describes it as "Bacterial RNase P class A". It matches the Rfam family "Bacterial RNase P class A". Rfam says of the family: Ribonuclease P (RNase P) is a ubiquitous endoribonuclease, found in archaea, bacteria and eukarya as well as chloroplasts and mitochondria. Its best characterised activity is the generation of mature 5'-ends of tRNAs by cleaving the 5'-leader elements of precursor-tRNAs. The record is from Rfam by way of RNAcentral. Lineage: Bacteria; Bacillati; Bacillota; Bacilli; Caryophanales; Thermoactinomycetaceae.
AAAGUAAACAAGGCAAUCGCCGGUGGAGUACCGAGAGGUCCCACGGGAGGAAAGUCCGAGCUCCAUAGGGCAGGGUGCCGGUUAACGACCGGUGGGGGCGACCCUAAGGCUAGUGCCACAGAAAUGUAGACCGCCGAUGGAGGCAUCGCCUCACAGGCAAGGAUGCAACGGUGCGGUAAGAGCGCACCAGCAGCAUGGAGACAUGCUGGCUAGGUAAACCCCACCCGGAGCAAGACCUGAUAGGAGAUUGGCAUCUCUGGAUGCAGCUGUGGCCCGCAGUAAUCUCGGGUAGGUCGCUUGAGUUGUGUAGCAAUACACAACCUAGAUAGAUGAUUGCCACUCCAGACAGUGGGAGACGAGCAAGCCGUCGAACUGACCACUUGGAGAACAGAACUCGGCUUAUUGUUUGCUUUCUGG